GAUGAACGCUGGUGGUAUGCUUAACACAUGCAAGUCGAACGGACUCUUCGGAGUUAGUGGCGGACGGGUGAGUAACGCGUGAGAAUCUGGCUUUGGGUUCGGGACAACCACUGGAAACGGUGGCUAAUACCGGAUGUGCCGAGAGGUAAAAGAGAAAUUGCCUGAAGAUGAGCUCGCGUCUGAUUAGCUAGUUGGUGAGGUAAAGGCUCACCAAGGCAGCGAUCAGUAGCUGGUCUGAGAGGAUGACCAGCCACACUGGGACUGAGACACGGCCCAGACUCCUACGGGAGGCAGCAGUGGGGAAUUGUCCGCAAUGGGCGAAAGCCUGACGGAGCAAUACCGCGUGAGGGAAGAAGGCUCUUGGGUUGUAAACCUCUUUUCUUAGGGAAGAACAAAAUGACGGUACCUAAGGAAUCAGCAUCGGCUAACUCCGUG
Molecule: ribosomal RNA, 435 nt
Filed under: uncultured bacterium
Lineage: Bacteria
Description: partial 16S ribosomal RNA
Rfam family: Bacterial small subunit ribosomal RNA
Source: RNAcentral